This is a non-coding RNA of Callithrix jacchus (white-tufted-ear marmoset), 833 nucleotides long. The record is from RefSeq and is a predicted model, not a curated record. NCBI's taxonomy places the organism in Eukaryota, Metazoa, Chordata, Mammalia, Primates, Cebidae.
GAAAAAGAAAAAGAAAAAAACAGGAUUACCCUUAAGUAAAGCCAAGGUAGAAGUAGAAAUUACCACUAACAAAAGCUGAGAAAGCAUCAAGAGGCAUCUUUCUUCAACAGUAUUGUAGUGAACCAGAAAUGUUCCCAGGUGCUGGGAGGUGAUGGUGGGCGAACCACAGACAAGGCCUCUCCUUGUGGCAGUUAAACUAGUGGGAAGGAUGACUUUAACCAGAUCAUCAUCAUAAAAUAGACAUGUAACAUUAUCAAACAUAGUGAUUGCUUCCAAGGGGGAGAACUGGAUCUUGUGAGAGCGAUUGACAGACAAAGGGAUUGAAAGAGGAAUUGAAUCUGGAGGAAGUGACAGGGAGUGUGUCCAGGCAGAAGAAAUCAAAGCCUGUUACCAGUGGCACGAGGAAUCCUCUCUGGAAAAGCUCAGUUCAAAAUGCAGAGUUAAGAAAUAAUUUCUUGGAGGAUUUCCUGAUAGAAACGUGCCAUUGCCUUUUUCAGUGACAGGUGGCACUAGAAUUCCAUGUGAAUGUUUUUUAUUCAUUCAAAGAGCUGAAGAACCAGCUUGAGGAAAGUGUAGAGCUAUGCAAAUCCAGUUCUGCAGAGAUCCCAGUUCUCAGGUCUCCCACUCCACCUUCCAACCCAGCUGCCAACCAGACCGACUUCAUUUCUCGCCGUGCUGAAACCAGUUAUUGGCAGAGGAAUGGAACCACUGUGAUGAGUUCGAUCAGGGGCCCAGUCUCCUGCUCCACUCUGUUUACAUUCACACGCCAGAGAGGCGAACCUAAGGAGAUGAGCGCCUUCUCCUUCCCUUCCCACGGCUCAGAUCCUGCUUCU